This is a long non-coding RNA of Drosophila miranda, 497 nucleotides long. RefSeq lists it as uncharacterized. NCBI's taxonomy places the organism in Eukaryota, Metazoa, Arthropoda, Insecta, Diptera, Drosophilidae. The transcript has 2 exons. The record is from RefSeq and is a predicted model, not a curated record.
UCAGCUCAUAGUGUUGCCGCACAAGUGAAAUUUAAUUUAAGUUCGUUGCGACGAAGUUUCGUUGGCUACGGCCAAAAGGUUAGGGCCACGCUUGGUUAGCCAGCAGGCUACAGGCAGUGAUACAGCCAGCAAAACUGCUCAAGACCCUCACACUCGUAGUCGCAGUCCCACUCGCACUUAAUUGUGUAAUUGUGGUUAUUCAAGAACCUCCCAAGAACACGGCGUGGCCUUGACAGCAGCACUCAGACACGACACACAAAUCCCUGUCCCAUUCCGAGAUGCCACCGCCACUUUGCAAGUCAUAUGCAAUUUUCGAAGAAGAUAUCGGAUCGAGAUGCAUUCUGGCACUUGGCUGUUCAUUUUUGAAAACUGCAGCGCACAGUGGGAAGCAACUCAGGGAACUUGCAAUAUCGGAGCCAAGAUGGGAGGACUGCCUUUCCUUCUUUCCUCCUCUUCGAACCUCUUACAAAUAUAAAUAAACCAAAUAACCACACUGA